RNAcentral lists this ribosomal RNA (250 nucleotides) under uncultured prokaryote. RNAcentral describes it as "partial 16S ribosomal RNA". It matches the Rfam family "Bacterial small subunit ribosomal RNA", at positions 524 to 774 of the family's 1533-position model. The record is from RNAcentral.
UACGUAGGGAGCGAGCGUUGUCCGGAAUUACUGGGUGUAAAGGGAGCGUAGGCGGGAAUACAAGUUGAAUGUCAAAUCUAUCGGCUCAACCGAUAGCCGCGUUCAAAACUGUAAUUCUUGAGUGAAGUAGAGGUUGGCGGAAUUCCUAGUGUAGCGGUGAAAUGCGUAGAUAUUAGGAGGAACACCAGUGGCGAAGGCGGCCAACUGGGCUUUUACUGACGCUGAGGCUCGAAAGCGUGGGGAGCGAACA